This is a non-coding RNA of Phasianus colchicus (ring-necked pheasant), 2973 nucleotides long. Lineage: Eukaryota; Metazoa; Chordata; Aves; Galliformes; Phasianidae. The record is from RefSeq and is a predicted model, not a curated record.
UGGCUGGCCAGGGAGCACAGCUGCAAGCAAUUCACCUGUGCUUCUCACAUGACCACAGGUCCCUGGGCUCAUUUAAAAGCCAGCCUCUAAAGAGUGGACACCUUUGGGGGUGAAGGCUUCUUCCUGAUAAGGUGUGGUUUACAGCUACACAGAUCUUCUUUACCAGUUGGGCAUACCAAAUAUAUUGGGUCACACCUCUCUCUGCUGUAGAGGAACGUGAUUUCUCAUGCCAAUGAAAAACAAAGUUGUUGACAAUUAAAGGAAGAGAAAACCAAGAAAUUUCAUUGCCAAAGAGAGAUAAGUUGAAGAAGGAUUAAGAAAAAAUUGGCCCCAGAAUGAACGUAGCAGAUGAUCCUUGGUUCUGGGCAUUACAAGAUAUCAAGCAGCAGUAGUAUUAAGGAGCUAGUGGUCACAGUCCUGAACAUUCAACUAUGACUGUCCUGCCCAUAAUUUGUCCUCUCCAAGGCCUCUCCUGCCAUUGACUGUGAAUUCAGAGGUUUAUGGGACAACUAGCACACUGUGGAGGAAACCAUGCAUACUCCCCAGUAUGGAGAUGGGACUCAGACACGGAAUCUCUGGAGCCAGCCAGCUCCUCCCCUGGCAUGUGCAAAGGACAGAUGGAUCCUGCUCGGUUUGGACUCCAGUUGUCACCCAGCAGCUGACUUGGAUGUGAUUUUCCCCUUAAACUCCUCCUGGACAAAAGGAUUAUUACUGAAGAUGUCAGCAGAGACACAGCAAGAUAAGGAAAAAGCCCAACAGAGUAGAACAUCCCCAAAUGGGAGAACAGCAAAAAACAGGAAGCUGUUCUCAGAAAAAUGCUUUGCUCAUUCAGAGAAUUCUGUUGCAUUAUUGGUUUUGUCAUAGACUUUGUUGGCUUUUGAUCAUUUAAUCAUUUGGUGCCUCUACUUCCUCCUUAAACUAGGAUUAUUCUUAGUAAUGGUGGUUAUUUAUAGCAGUGUUGGAGUCUGAAAAAAGUAAUGUUUUUCUGCUACUGCAACUGAAGAUUCUACACAGAGGGCUAACACCUUCCUUUCUGGUUUUCAACUGGCGCUCCAGUCUCCUUCACAAAAGAAGGAUGUGAACAGAAGAGACUAGAGAUAUUUGAAUGGCACCAAGAGCAACUUUCUGUGGAUUUUUUGAGUUCCUAAAUGAAUUGAUACAGGCUGCAAACACAGGCCUUUCAGGAUCGUUGUCAGCAAACACCAACAAGACAGAAACAUAAUUGUAUAUUCACCCACAAAAAAUUAGUUUGAAGAUUCUGUGUCCUUUCAUCUGGGGAACGUGAAUUUUAAAUUCACUUUUGGAAGUAUUUGUACUGGGUGAUUAAGGCUUACACUCCUUCAAAUAUGGAAUAGAAACACUACCUCUAAUUGUGUUAUAACUUCAUGGGUCUCUUGUGAAUAGCAAACUGCUGAUAAAAGCAGUCUUGUAAAAAUAUCAUCAAAUAAUUUUGGAUACCAAAGUGAUCUGUAGCAAUCAGAAUCUGCUAGUGGCUGUGUCUACAAAGAAUAAAGAGAAGACCAUCAGACAAAGAUUAUACAACCGGUUAUUCAGAAAUCAUCUUCUCAGGAGCUGGAGCUCAGGUGGUGCUGUGUUGAACUCAAUGAUCCUUAUGGACCCCUUCCAACUUGGGAUAUUCUGUGAUUCUAUGAUCUUCAGAAGAAACCUAGAGAAAGCAGAGAAUGGCAUUCAGAUCUUUUGCAGUUCACACUGCUGCCUUAGUUACAGGAUGACAUAUCCUCCUUGGAAACUGAAAAUAAAACCAGAAGAGAGGAAAAGCACUCCCAGAUUCUCUCCCACUCUUUUUCUCCAACUAGCAUAUGAUCACGACACUGUCCUUGAAGUGAACUCAGUUACAACGCUGUGACCUAACACAGCUUUAUCUUACAGAAUGUUCCCCGCCUCUGUCCACACCCUCCUCCCUCAAAGUACUGGCAGAAUCAAAGGGAAAAAUUAUAUAUGAAGGGAAAGAACAAUGAAUACUUAGUAGUACAGAACAAAAGAGAUUUGCAAGGAGGGUGGGGAAUCAAGGAAAUUAAGAGCUGUCUGGGAUACACAGCAUAAGUGUGUCAAGGCAGAGAAGAUCUAGUCCACAGGUGCUCCCAGAUCAUUGAAGACAGACUGAUGGUCUGCAUUGAAGACCAGCUUCCUGCAGCAGCACACCCAUACUUGUUACCAUUUUGGUUUGUAGCUGGAAAGCAUUUCAGAGGCUCCUUAUCUGAGCAGAGGGACAAUAAGAGGUGUGUGCUGAAAAAAGAAGUGGACCGGGACAGUCAUCUUCUACUUGUGGUUUGAUAUCUUUGUCAUCUGAGUGGGUUUUUGCCUCCUGUUAUUUCAUGAGAUUAAGCUGAUAAUGUAGAUAUUAAUUAUUGCAGGGAAUAUGCUGCUGACUGAGGAACUGCUCUACUGUAGGCACUUUGGAGAUGCAGCUGAUUCAAUGUAUGGCUGCCAACUGGUGCUCCUUGAGGGAAUGUCCUUCAGCUUCAUUUCCAGACUGAAGUGGACUGUUACAGGUGGCUGUAUGUGACUGAACUGCUUGCAGCUUGAGCAUCUGUAAUGGGCCACAGGUUGUCUACUUGAAGCUGAAAAUGCUGAUAGAAGUGCAAUUGUUGCAGUACCUAAAAAAGCCAGUAGAUAGAAACAAAAUUGUCACUGGCUAGGUUUGUGUGCUCUUACAAGAACUUGAAAGAGCAGUGGUGAAGUGGGACUGCUUCAGAGAGAUGUUAAAACUCAGUGCAUUUGCUCUGAUUCUGACAUUAAUACUGAAGCCAAACCAUGGUAACUGCUAAUCCACUGUAUGUAGAAGAGCUCUUGGAAGGACAGAGGAUUAUUAUUUUCUGCUGUUUGAAGUGUGAUCUGUGUGCAAUCUUGGGAGUUGUGCUGGCAAAACUGUCAAAGGGUAUGCAGUCAGAAGAAAAUUACAAAAGAAAAAAAUAUUAAAAACAGUGUUAAAACUCACCCAUGUUUUCCCAC